Chelonia mydas (Green sea turtle) is the source of this 1742-nucleotide long non-coding RNA. RefSeq lists it as uncharacterized. Lineage: Eukaryota; Metazoa; Chordata; Testudines; Cheloniidae. The record is from RefSeq and is a predicted model, not a curated record. The transcript has 2 exons.
UCAUUCCCAGUAUGAGGCAGGAGCCCUCCCCUCACAGACAUUCCUGCCUGUGUUUCCUCCCGGGAUCCCGCUUUCCCACUUACCUCAGGGCAGAAGCGUUCUAUCCAUGGAAUUGGUGCAUCAGCAGUCAGAUCAGGCUUUUGGCAGCUUACCUUGCAGGGAAUCAAAAUGAGUUGAUGGUCACACUCAGCCGACGCUUUGCUAUCAACCAGGAGUGGGAGCUACAUGAUUCCAUGAUAAACAUACUUGUGGCACCUUAGAGACUAACAAAAUUAUUUGAGCAUAAGCUUUCGUGAGCUACAGCUCACUUCAUCGGAUGCAGCUUAGUCGCUAAGGUGCCACAAGUACUCCUUUUCUUUUUGCGAAUACAGACUAACACGGCUGCUACUCUACUCCUAUCUUGAGUCUUGCAGAAGAUUCAUUGGGACAAGACACGAGUCAUCAUCAUCACCCCCAACUGGACCAGACAGUUUUGAUUCCAGAGACUUGUACUCCUGUCAUCUUACUCAUCGAUCAGUAUUCAACCCUUUUCCAAUAGCCUGACCCGGGGAAGGGCAGAAUCAAGCAUUCCAAUCCCCAAGCACUCCAUCUCAGGCAUGGGUUUUUGGAUGGGCAUCAACUCUAAAACAUUUCUGCUCUGAAGCCAUGCAAAGCAUCCUUACUAAUAGCUGAAAAGAUUCCACUCGGAAAGGCUACUUAGCCAAGUGGAAGUGUUUCUCUGUCUGGGCACAAAAAAAACUUAUAUCCCCAGAAGCUGCAGGUAUUCUCCUUAUUCUGAACUAUCUUCUUUCCCUCAAAGUAGCUCGUCUUUCCAUCAGCUCUUUAUGAAUCGACCUGGCACCGAUCAGUGUGUACCACCCACCUUCAUAUGGGAACUCAAUUUUUGCUCACCUGCUGACUGCCUGGUUCUGGAAGGGCCAAGUUAGAACCUUUCUGCCAGUAAGGAACCCUGCCCCGCAGUGGCACCUACGCCUUGUUCUUUCGGUGCUCACAAAGCCACCCUGGAAACCACUGUCUACAUGUUCCGUGUCUCGCCUAUCUAUGAAGGUUGCAUUCCUGGUAGCCAUAAUCUCAGCCAGGAGGUGGGUGUAGGAUAAGUACAAAAUUAAAGAAUUAAAGUUAGCUUAAGUUAAAUGAUAAGGCCAGAAGGAAUAAAGUAGGGAGGACGUCUGGUUCAAAGAACAACUAGUGAGAUAAAGGGAAGUUUCUAAACAGAAGGCCUCUGACCAAUAGGAGAAGCUGUAGAUGGUUUUAAAUAAAACAAAGAGAAUCUGUCUUUAAAUGAGCCAAUAGGACCCUUCCCCAGCCCACACACCAGUAACGCCUAUGUGAGCCCAGGUGCAAUGGGAAACCUGUUGGACAGCAGGAAGGAGGGAGGAAAGGCCUUGGGAAGAAAAGAGGUUGUAAAUCUUACCUGGAUUAAGGCUGGAAAUAAGGGUGAACUGUCUCCAGUUGUCUUUUGCUGUAGUCAGUAAUUGGCAGUGACAUCACUUGUUUGUUAAAGAUAUAAAUAGUAAACUCUUAAAGGGUUCAUUGAUCAUACCUGCCUGACCAAGCUAGAGCCGACCAAUAUGGGUCUAAGCACCCCUUGCUUUUAGCCCAUUUGUAAGUAUCUUGAUCAAAUGCUUAUACAGGUUUUGUUACUGUUUGGAUGCAUUGCUUAUUAUUCAGGCUUUUUAGGCAUGUUUAGAGUAAUUGUAUAAGUUUGUCUUUGGAUUUAAUAAAGGAAUUUAUGGUUGUAA